UUGCUGGGAAUUGAAUUCAGGACCUCC
This 27-nucleotide non-coding RNA is filed under the name Cricetulus griseus (Chinese hamster). Lineage: Eukaryota; Metazoa; Chordata; Mammalia; Rodentia; Cricetidae. The record is from RNAcentral.